Pygocentrus nattereri (red-bellied piranha) is the source of this 2770-nucleotide RNA transcript. It is a transcript of the gene named coiled-coil domain containing 62, with no coding region annotated. NCBI's taxonomy places the organism in Eukaryota, Metazoa, Chordata, Actinopteri, Characiformes, Serrasalmidae. The transcript has 12 exons. The record is from RefSeq and is a predicted model, not a curated record.
GUUCAGUAGCUUAGCGCAAUCGUGUCCCAUCACAACAAGAAAUUUCAAAACUUGUAAUGAUAACGAUGAAGAGCGAAGAGAUGCCGGACUGUCCUAACCUAGAGCUGUUAUGUGACGAGGGACAUGUUCAUAUCAUUGUUCCUGCUUCCGUGUUCUUAUCAGUGUCAUAAUCGAGAUAUUUUAGAGACUGUUUUGGUUCAAAUUUUACAACCCAACGUUAAUAGUUGUAGCCAUAUAGGUUAGUGCUGUAAACUACUGGCCUGUCCUUCCCCCUAAGCUAACCUAGCUAACUCUAGCUGACCUUAUUCGUUUUAUUAGUCGGAUGGUAGGCAAUGGCUCUUAAACAUAGCUGGGGAAACUUUCUAUGCUGUAAUUUUUAAGUAACUCAGCCAGCUACAGUUCAUUAAAGUAGCCUAAAAUUAGGCACUCAGAGCUUCACCCCAGUGUACGGAAUGGGUCUGUUCAUAGACUCCAGCCUUACUCGCAGCAUCUGACAAUGUGCAAGCUGACAAGGUUAAACAUCGAAGAACAAAUGGAGGAAGAUAAAGGAAAAGAUGAUUCCAGAGGGAUUGGAAACCGUUUCUCCAUGUCCAGAAAUGGUUUUGCAUUUGAUCCCUGGCACAGCACCCCUGUAAAGAAGCACACAGAUGAAGUCAGCAUGGCAAGACAGACUGCCCGGAGUCCUCAGCCGCCUUCUAAUCACAUAUCAUCUCUGUCCAUCAUGCAGAGCUCAAAGACUUCAGCAUGCGAUUUGGAGAUCUCUACCAUCCAAAAACAGAGGAUGGAGCUGCAGCUCCUUAUAGCAGAGCUGAAGGACCGUGACCAAGAGUUGAACACCAUGUCUGCAGCCCACCACAGGCAGCUCCAGGCCUGGGAGCAGGACCGACAGAGAGUACUGACUUUGGAGCAGCGGUGUGCUCGCCUUGAAGACGAGCUACAGAAGCGUAACGAGGUGAUCCGAGCCAUUAGCAAGCACUUAAAGAUUGUGGAGGCUCGAGAGAAGGACAUACACAGAGAGCUCAACACUGCGCAGCAACAGCUGAAGGAACUGAGCCAGAGACAACAGCACAGCGGCCAACAGCAACAUGACCUUGAGGAGAAGAAUCAGAGUCUGAACUCAACCAUCAUGACUCUCUCGUCCCAGGUUGGCCAGCUCCAGGUUCAUGAGGAAGAACUCAGUUCCAUGCUCAAACUGAAGGACAAAGACCUGAUGGAAGCAACCUUUCACAUUUUGGCUUUAACCAAUCGGCUGUGGGAGUCAGACACAUCAGUGAGGGAGUCUCAGAAACGUGAGGGCAUAACGUUACAGGAAACGGAGAAAUACAAACGUCACUUCAGAGAGGCCAGACAUGAAAAUGUUAAACUGAAAGAUGAGCUUCAGGAGAAGACUAUAGAGAACAACAGUCAGAGAGAAGAACUCAUUCGGCUUAAACAAGAGAACCAGCUGCUCAGGAAAGAACUGGCUCUGGCAGGUCAUGGUGAAAGCUGGAAGGAUGAGUUACUUGAACUAGCCAGAUCAAAGCAAGAGCGCACCGAAUCUGAGCUUCUCUGCCUGCGACAGGUGUGUGAGAAGCAGCUGAAUGACCUGCAGCUGUUGAAGCUUAACCUAGAGAGCACCAGAGAGGCACUGAGACUGUAUGAAGGUCAAAGGUCAUUCAAGAGGAUGUAUCCUGCCUUCCGCCCAAUGACCGCUGGGAUAGGCUCCAGCACCCCCUGAGGGAGAAGCGGCUUAGAAAGCGCGUGUGUGUGUGCGCAUUUACUGCUUGUAUUUCUGUCCUUUCUAUAAUGAAAGGCUACUUAUUUAAAGAUGAACCGAACAUGUUUUAGUUGGGGGUUACUUUAAUAUAACGCAAUACCCAAGUAAGGCUCGACUCUCAAGAAUCUCAAGACUUGGGUUCCUGAGAAUUUGUUUUGAUCUCUGGUGUCAUAAGGCUGUUUCCAUCUUGGUGUAUCUACAAGAACUUGUACAUAACUAUAACAUGUUUGUGGUUUUAGGUGUGAUAAUGUUACAGGAGCUGCUUUACAACAUAGUAUCCAUCAAGGAACAGAGUUAGGAGAGUCAGUGCAUCAGCAGUGCCAAAGCAGAAGCAUAGAUAUACAACCCCUCUCACCUCAAGGUGCAGUGGAGUCAGCUACAGAGAUCUCUGCCAUUACAUCAGGAUACAUUACUGAUAGUCAGAACAGUCUGAGUGGGCCGGAUUUCAGCUGCUGCAAGGAGGAGAAACAGGCAGAAAGGAAUAGCACUACUCCACCUACUAGCAAUGAACGUGAUGGGGCUAUGACUAAGCUAGGUACUGUAGUACUCCACUGUUGUGAUUGUAAUGACGCAACAGAGGAUGACUUCUCUGAGGUAGCUGACUAUGAAGGAGGAACUGAAGUGGACCUUGUGGCUGUCAUUAACUGUGAUUUAGACACUGAGACCCCAGUGCUGGUGGUGGAUGUCAGUCCAAAAAACCUGGAUCACUCUAGGUAUGAGAUUAAGUAAUUUAAAUAAUUGAUAGUCUGGAGAAGCAAGUUAUUAUUUUGUGGGUUUUGUAUGUUAUGUGUUGUCAGUUCUGUAUAUAACUUAACCACUGCAUUAGUAAUAGUAAUUCAGCAGGCUUUCUGAUGAUGAUAACCUUCACCUCAGUCCAGGGGAUGUAACCUGCCUGUAUGUGGAAUGCUCCACACCAUCGGCACAAAGUUGGAGAUGCCCUGCCCCAGUAGAGGAUGCAGCAUUAAACAGCAUCAGCAGCAGCACCCAGGAGGAGUACGACUCAUCCACGAGUCG